UACGGAGGGUGCGAGCGUUUUUCGGAAUCAUUGGGCGUAAAGCGCGUGUAGGCGGCUUGGUAAGUCGGGUGUGAAAUCCCGGGGCCCAACCCCGGAACUGCAUUCGAAACUGCCUCGCUAGAGUCCCGGAGAGGAAGGCGGAAUUCCCGGUGUAGAGGUGAAAUUCGUAGAUAUCGGGAGGAACACCAGCGGCGAAGGCGGCCUUCUGGACGGUGACUGACGCUGAGACGCGAAAGCGUGGGGAGCAAACAGG
RNAcentral lists this ribosomal RNA (253 nucleotides) under uncultured bacterium. RNAcentral's name for it is "partial 16S ribosomal RNA". It matches the Rfam family "Bacterial small subunit ribosomal RNA", at positions 524 to 776 of the family's 1533-position model. The record is from RNAcentral.